GAUGAACGCUAGCGGCAGGCCUAACACAUGCAAGUCGAGGGAGAAGCCCUUUCGGGGGCAGAAACCGGCGCACGGGUGCGUAACGCGUAUGCAACCUACCUUUCACAGGGGGAUAGCCCGAAGAAAUUUGGAUUAAUACCCCAUAAUAUUAUUGGAUGGCAUCAUUUGAUAAUUAAAACUGCGGUGGUGAAAGAUGGGCAUGCGUCCUAUUAGCUAGUUGGAGUGGUAACGGCACCCCAAGGCUACGAUAGGUAGGGGUCCUGAGAGGGAGAUCCCCCACACUGGUACUGAGACAGGGACCAGACUCCUACGGGAGGCAGCAGUGAGGAAUAUUGGUCAAUGGUCGGAAGACUGAACCAGCCAUGCCGCGUGCAGGAAGAAUGCCUUAUGGGUUGUAAACUGCUUUUAUAUGGGAAGAAUAAGGCGUACGUGUACGUUG
RNAcentral lists this ribosomal RNA (439 nucleotides) under Capnocytophaga gingivalis. RNAcentral's name for it is "bacterial SSU rRNA". It matches the Rfam family "Bacterial small subunit ribosomal RNA", at positions 28 to 468 of the family's 1533-position model. Lineage: Bacteria; Pseudomonadati; Bacteroidota; Flavobacteriia; Flavobacteriales; Flavobacteriaceae. The record is from RNAcentral.